CCUACGGGAGGCAGCAGUGAGGAAUAUUGGACAAUGGACGCAAGUCUGAACCAGCGAUGCCGCGUGAAGGAAGACGGCCCUAUGGGUUGUAACCUGCUUUUGUACGGGGCUAAACGCAAAUCCGUGUAUCUGUCUGAAAGUAUCGUACGAAUAAGGAUGCGCUAACUCCGUCCCAGCAGCCGCGGAUAUACGGAGGAUUCGAGCGUUAUACGGAUUUAUUGGGUGUAAAGGGUGCGUAGGCGGGCGGUUAAGUUAGAGGUGAAAUCCCGAGGCUCAACUGCGGAAUUGCCUGGGAGACUGUUCGUCUAGAGAGUAGUGGCGGGAGGCGGAAUGGAUGGUGUAGCGGUGGAAUGCUUAGAGAUCAGACAGAACACCGAUGGCGAAGGCAGCUUACCAAGCUGCUUCUGACGUUGAGGCACGAAAGCGUGGGGAGCAAACAGGAUUAGAUACCCUAGUAGUC
RNAcentral lists this ribosomal RNA (460 nucleotides) under uncultured bacterium. RNAcentral's name for it is "partial 16S ribosomal RNA". It matches the Rfam family "Bacterial small subunit ribosomal RNA", at positions 338 to 795 of the family's 1533-position model. The record is from RNAcentral.